Molecule: unclassified non-coding RNA, 234 nt
Filed under: Hevea brasiliensis (rubber tree)
Lineage: Eukaryota; Viridiplantae; Streptophyta; Magnoliopsida; Malpighiales; Euphorbiaceae
Source: RNAcentral
AAUUCAGUUAGAUAUGCAGUUCUUGAAGACUCCGCUGAAGGAAAUUGCGGACGAUGAAGCAGCUAUUGACUUUUUGCUUGAUGAGGUGAUAGUCGCAGCAUCAGAGCGUUGUCUAGACCCCAUUCCUUUGGAGCCUCCCAUCUUAGACAAACUCAUACAAGCAAAAUUGGCGAAGGCAAAAGAUCAGAAUUCAACAUCUUCAUGAACAUACCAAAAUGGAGAAGUUGGACAUUG